Molecule: long non-coding RNA, 321 nt
Filed under: Homo sapiens (human)
Lineage: Eukaryota; Metazoa; Chordata; Mammalia; Primates; Hominidae
Description: HSALNT0022998
Source: RNAcentral
GGUAAAUCGCUGGCGGGGCCGCUGCUUUGGGCCCCAGCCCAGGAUGUCUUCCCGCCAUCCACUCGGCCCCUGGAGCUUCCCCAGCGCUCCCAGGAGGUGCUGGGAAUGAACACAAAUGGACCCUGCCAAGUUAAUGUUCUGCUCUCUCGUCCCCUUCUUCCCUGAUCUAGCGGCCCAGUGAGGCCCUGAAGCUGGCAACAGCCAGGUUCAUCUCAGCCCUAAACAUUUCUGCAAUCGAUCUUCCCGCCCCAGUCCCUCAGCUUCCUUUAUGGCUUCGGUUGUUUUACGAGUCCCUGAAGCCAGGGCUCCUCCCCCUGCAGC